ACUUAGGAUUAUAGCCUCCAGUUCCACCCAUGUUGCUGCAGAAGCUAUAAUUUUAUUCUUUUGAAUGUUCUUUCUGGCUGUGAGAGUCUGUGAUCUUGGCAAGUGAUAGACCCCUAUGACCAAUGAAUCACAACUUAAAUGAGUACCAAGUUCCCAGCUGAUCUGUGAAAAGGAGCUCAGUGAGAGGAAUCAGUGAUCUUAUAUCAGUCAUAUGGAAUGAGGUAAAAGUGCAUGCUUCAUGUUAUGUUACUUUCUUUUGCUUGAGAAUGCUAAAUUUGGAAAAUAUAUAAUAUGACGUACUUGUGACAAUUGAAUUGUAAGAGAUUUUAUCUGAUAUUGCUUUAGAAAACAGAAAUAAUUGCUUCAAAGGAUAAAGGAUAGAAGGUUCUGAUAAAGCUUGCUUACUUUUUGCGGGGAGGCAUGGGGGGAAAUGUCUCAGUGCCCAAGGUCAGUGGCCUUCCUGACUGAAGACUUUCCCAGAGUAGAGGGUAAGAGUGGGAACAGGAAUAUCAGUUUAAAGUCAUCUUCAUAAUAUUCUGGUGAGUGACUGAUUCCUUCAGAAGCAAACAGGCACAUGGUAAAAAUAUUGGUAAUGUGACUGUAGUGUUGUUACUGUCAUUUUUUUCUUUAUUAACUAUGAUAUUGCUUACGGAUAGCAGUCAGAGUAGUAGUAUAUUUAUAAUCAUGAACCUCUUAGGGUUGCUGGUUUGGUGUUUCAAAGUUUUUCAGUCAUCCAUAUUAAACUUUUAAAGAUAUCUUGUGUGAAAAUCCAAUUCAAAUUAUGUAGAAUUAAGAUAUUAUAUUAUUUAGGAUAAACAAAUUAAGUGUGUUUGUCAUGAUUCUGUAAGUUGAUCUUAUUUGCUAUCAGGUAUUUUAAUUCAUGAAUGCAGUGUGAUAAUAUUUGUUAAAAAUAAUAGGCACAUAUAUUUCCAUUGUAUUUAAAUUAUGAUCUGGCCUAUUCAAAAUUAACAUAGAUUGAUUUUGACCGAAGAGGUCUAGAAAGCAAGACCUUUUAGAAGAGAAGUGGAAAACAGAGUCAUUUCGUAGUUUCAUUCUGCUACCCAAGAUGAAGCUGGGUCACAGAUUGCUGUAGACAUUUUAAAAUAACUCCGUGGAUCCCUCCCCUUCCACCCACUUUUCUCUGCUAUAUCCACAGAUAAUUCUCUACAUAUUUAUAGUUCGAGAGGGGGAAAUGACUCUCCAAGAGUUAACUUCAGUUACACAUUGGUGGGCCGUAACUGUGCUCUGAGUGCCAGUGAGAACUGUAUGUCAAAAAUGCCACCUUCUCUCUUAUUAAUGCUGACUUAGCAAAAACAGGGAAUUUAGAGCAAGUCAGAAUUCUUGUUUCACUGUCCUAUUUUCAGUAAGAGAAGGAAUUUAGGACAACUUAGAAUUUUUUCUCCUGCCCUAUUUUAUUGCAUGUAUGUGUAUUCAUAUUCAGCAAAAAGAAUCCCAAUGUUAGCCUUUGGUGUCUUCAUGUCCAAACAGUAUUUUCCCAAUUCAUUUAAUUUUUUUAUUUAAAAUUAAUAUAUCUGGCUAAAGACAUUAGAAAAAUUGUAUCAACUGAACAAAAUUUUUAAAUGACUCAUGGUUCCACUGGCAAAGGAAUAAACUCGGCUUUGAGUAAACUCUUGAAAUGUUCCUUUGAAAUAUGCUUAGUCUUUAAUGUUCAUUUGAUUGAUUGUGAUCAUAAUACAUAUAUAAGUUUGCUUCUUUAUUAUUCAUUUUUAUAUCACAAACUCUUUUCUCAUUAUUAUAAAUUUUAUGGUAAUAAUAUUUUAGAUAAUUUCUAACCUAUGGUAGGAAUGUCCCUAGUUUAUUUGACCUCUAUAUGUUAAACAUUCAUUCUCUUUUAAAGUCUUAUGUGUUACAGUGAUAUGUUGUUUCUAAUUUUUGUCUUCCUUCCAUUUGUAUUAAUUUAGCAGAAAAUAAACUUCCAGAAAUAAAAUCAAUUUCUUAAUUUUAGGAGUAUUUAUAGGCUGUAAUGUAGAGUAUAUUUGGAUACAUAUAUUGGUUAGAAAUUUAAAGAGCAGUAAAAAUAAAAAUGAUUC
Mandrillus leucophaeus (drill) is the source of this 2051-nucleotide long non-coding RNA. RefSeq lists it as uncharacterized. Lineage: Eukaryota; Metazoa; Chordata; Mammalia; Primates; Cercopithecidae. The record is from RefSeq and is a predicted model, not a curated record. The transcript has 3 exons.